This 83-nucleotide transfer RNA is filed under the name Bordetella ansorpii. Its description in RNAcentral is "tRNA-seC(tca)". The record is from RNAcentral. Lineage: Bacteria; Pseudomonadati; Pseudomonadota; Betaproteobacteria; Burkholderiales; Alcaligenaceae.
AUGCCGGGCGUGGCGGCCAGGUCGGCCAGCGCCGCCUUCAGCGUGGCGACGCUGUCGCCCAGGUUCGAUCCCAGUCCGAUGUA